UCUGGGCAUGGUGGCAUGUGCCUGUAGUCCCAGCUACUUGGGAGGCUGAGGUGGGAGGAUCGCUUGAGCCCAGGAGUUCUGGGCUGUAGCGCGCUAUGCCAAUCAGGUGUCUGCACUAAGUUCGGCAUCAAUAUGAUGACCUCCCCAGAGCAGGGGACCACGAGGUUGCCUAAGGAGGGGUGAACUGGCCCAGACUGGAAAUGGAGCAGGUCAAAACUCUGGCGCUGAUCUGUAGUGGGAUCGUGCCUGUAAAUAGCCACUGCACUCCAGCGUGGGCAACAUAGUGAGACCCCCAUCUCU
Molecule: signal recognition particle RNA, 300 nt
Filed under: Saimiri boliviensis boliviensis (Bolivian squirrel monkey)
Lineage: Eukaryota; Metazoa; Chordata; Mammalia; Primates; Cebidae
Description: Metazoan signal recognition particle RNA (ENSSBOG00000014965.1)
Rfam family: Metazoan signal recognition particle RNA
About the family: The signal recognition particle (SRP) is a universally conserved ribonucleoprotein.
Source: Rfam by way of RNAcentral